GAUGAACGCUGGCGGCGUGCCUAAUACAUGCAAGUCGAGCGAACGGACGAGAAGCUUGCUUCUCUGAUGUUAGCGGCGGACGGGUGAGUAACACGUGGAUAACCUACCUAUAAGACUGGGAUAACUUCGGGAAACCGGAGCUAAUACCGGAUAAUAUUUUGAACCGCAUGGUUCAAAAGUGAAAGACGGUCUUGCUGUCACUUAUAGAUGGAUCCGCGCUGCAUUAGCUAGUUGGUAAGGUAACGGCUUACCAAGGCAACGAUGCAUAGCCGACCUGAGAGGGUGAUCAGCCACACUGGAACUGAGACACGGUCCAGACUCCUACGGGAGGCAGCAGUAGGGAAUCUUCCGCAAUGGGCGAAAGCCUGACGGAGCAACGCCGCGUGAGUGAUGAAGGUCUUCGGAUCGUAAAACUCUGUUAUUAGGGAAGAACAUAUGUGUAAGUAACUGUGCACAUCUUGACGGUCCCUAAUCAGAAAGCCACGGCUAACUACGUG
Molecule: ribosomal RNA, 497 nt
Filed under: uncultured bacterium
Lineage: Bacteria
Description: partial 16S ribosomal RNA
Rfam family: Bacterial small subunit ribosomal RNA
Source: RNAcentral